This 280-nucleotide microRNA precursor is filed under the name Cajanus cajan (pigeon pea). RNAcentral's name for it is "miRNA gene-KK1_000558". Lineage: Eukaryota; Viridiplantae; Streptophyta; Magnoliopsida; Fabales; Fabaceae. The record is from RNAcentral.
GAAUCCAUGCUGGAGAAGUAGGACACAAGCUCAAAACUUAGAUUUGGCACUCUCUGAUUUUUUUUCUUUCAUAAAUACUUAUAAGAAAAGAAAAGAAAAAAUGUAAAAUGCAAUGAGUUGGUGGAUAAAUUAAAAAAUCAACUUAUACACAAAGAAAAGAAGUUAUAAAAAUUAAGGGCAUAAAUUAAUUUACUUUACCUUAUUAUCUUAUCUUAUAAGUGUUUAUGAAAAAUUUAAUCGAAGACGUCAAGCAUGUGUCCUGCUUCUCCAGCGUGGUUCA